UGGGGAAUCUUGGACAAUGGGGGCAACCCUGAUCCAGCCAUGCCGCGUGAGUGAUGAAGGCCUUAGGGUCGUAAAGCUCUUUCGCCUGUGAAGAUAAUGACGGUAGCAGGUAAAGAAACCCCGGCUAACUCCGUGCCAGCAGCCGCGGUAAUACGGAGGGGGUUAGCGUUGUUCGGAAUUACUGGGCGUAAAGCGCACGUAGGCGGACCAGAAAGUUGGGGGUGAAAUCCCGGGGGCUCAACCCCGGAACUGCCUCCAAAACUAUUGGUCUAGAGUUCGAGAGAGGUGAGUGGAAUUCCAAGUGUAGAGGUGAAAUUCGUAGAUAUCAGGAGGAACACCGGUGGCGAAGGCGGGUCUCUGGGCCGGAACUGACGCUGAGGAGCGAAAGUGUGGGGAGCAAACAGGAUUAGAUACCCUGGUAGUCCACACCGUAAACGAUGAAUGCCAGUCGUCGGGUAGCAUGCUAUUCGGUGACACACCUAACGGAUUAAGCAUUCCGCCUGGGGAGUACGGUCGCAGAUUAAAA
Molecule: ribosomal RNA, 526 nt
Filed under: uncultured bacterium
Lineage: Bacteria
Description: bacterial SSU rRNA
Rfam family: Bacterial small subunit ribosomal RNA
Source: RNAcentral